CAAUAGCGUAUAUUAAAGUUGUUGCGGUUAAAAAGCUCGUAGUUGGAUUUCUGCUGAGGAUGACCGGUCCGCUUUCCGAGUGUGUAUCUGGCUCAGCCUUGGCAUCUUCCUGAAGAACGUAUCUGCACUUGACUGUGUGGUGCGGUAUUUAGGACAUUUACUUUUGAAGAGAUUAGAGUGUUUCAAGCAAGCGCACGCCUUGAAUACAUUAGCAUGGAAUAAUAAGAUAGGAGCUCGGUUCUAUUUUGUUGGUUUCUAGAGCUGAGGUAAUGAUUGAUAGGGAUAGUUGGGGGCAUUCGUAUUUAAAUGUCAGAGGUGAAAUUCUUGGAUUUUGUUAAAGACGGACUACUGCGAAAGCAUUUGCCAAGGAUGUUUUUCAUUGAUCAAGAACGAAAGUUAGGGGAUCGAAGACGAUUAGAU
Molecule: ribosomal RNA, 420 nt
Filed under: uncultured eukaryote
Lineage: Eukaryota
Description: SSU rRNA
Rfam family: Eukaryotic small subunit ribosomal RNA
Source: RNAcentral